This 76-nucleotide transfer RNA is filed under the name Alphaproteobacteria bacterium. RNAcentral's name for it is "tRNA-Phe". It matches the Rfam family "tRNA". From Rfam's summary of the family: Transfer RNA (tRNA) molecules are approximately 80 nucleotides in length. Lineage: Bacteria; Pseudomonadati; Pseudomonadota; Alphaproteobacteria. RNAcentral also lists the same sequence under 1 other name. The record is from RNAcentral.
GGCUGGGUAGCUCAGUUGGUAGAGCAAAGGACUGAAAAUCCUUGUGUCCCUGGUUCGAUUCCAGGUCCAGCCACCA